Molecule: long non-coding RNA, 2884 nt
Organism: Symphalangus syndactylus (siamang)
Lineage: Eukaryota; Metazoa; Chordata; Mammalia; Primates; Hylobatidae
Source: RefSeq, a predicted model, not a curated record
GUUUGUUUUGUUUUGUUUUGUUUUUGAGAUGGAGUCUCGCUCUGUCGCCCAGGCUGGAGUGCAGUGGCGCGAUCUCGGCUCACUGCAAGCUCCGCCUCCCGGGUUCACGCCAUUCUCCUGCCUCAGCCUCUCCGAGUAGCUGGGACUACAGGCGCCCGCCACCACGCCUGGCUAAUUUUUUGUAUUUUUAGUAGAGACGGGGUUUCACCGUGGUCUCGAUCUCCUGACCUCGUGAUCUGCCCGCCUCGGCCUCCCAAAGUGCUGGGAUUACAAGCAUGAGCCACCGUGCCCGGCCUGUCAAUGUUUGUUUUUUAAAGAUCGAAUUCAUCUGAAUGAAGUUCUGUAGCAUGCUUAUAAACUUUUGGAUAGAAAGAAUGAGAGUUGGGCUUUUCUACAAUCCUGUUUGUGUUUCUCAAAGUGUAGUUUUAUGACCAUCAAUGAUAAAAAACCAUUUGGAAUAUUUGUUAAAAAUCAAAUGCGCAGGCUUCUGGGCCAGGCACAGUGGCUCAUGCCUGUAAUCUCAGCAUGGGAGGCCUAUGUACAAGGAUUGCUUGAACCCAGAAGUUUGAGACCAGUCUAAGCAACAUAGUAAGACCCUGUAUCUACAAAAAAUUAAAAAAUUAGCCAGGCAUGCUGGCAUGUGCCUGUAGUCCCAGCUACUCAGGAUCACUUGAGCCCAGGAGUUUGAGGCUGCAGUGAACCAUGAUUGUGCCACUGCUCUACUGGGGGUGGCAGAGUGAGACCUUGAUACACACAUACACACACACAGUCAUGCACAUGCUGUAGGCAGGGAGGAGGUGUUGGUGAGAGCUGGAAUCUGCAUUUAAGAAGUACCCAAAGCCAUAUAUAUUUUGAACAUUCAGUAGAGAACAACUGUUUUUUAAGGUGGUAUAAAUUCAGGCAAAUUUCUAGAACAAAUAACAUAAUUGAAUACAGUGGUUCUUUGCCUUACAUUGUCUUACAUCCUAACAACAUUGUCAAAGAACCUGGGUCCCAUCCUGACAGAAACAAAAAACCCAUUUAUGUUGAUAGUGACAGAUGAUAGUGUACAGAUAUGUUUAUAGUUUGAUUGUUUUUUAACUUCCAGAAGUAGUUUAGUACCCAUUAUUGUUGCAAAUUUUUAGUAAUGCUUGGAUUUUCAUCCCACAUAGACUACUUCCUUUUAGCUGCAGUUGAAAACAAAGGCUUGAAUUCCUGCCUUAUAAUCAUCUAGCCUUCCAUGAAUUCAUACCAUGAUGGGAAACUCAUUAUUAACUAAGUCAACAUAUCCCAUUGAUACAGUUCUAACAUUUCCCUUAUUGUAAAAUACUUUUCUGUAGCUUCCACCCACCAAUCCUAGUUUGAACCCUGAAGUCAUACCAACAAUUCUAAUUUCUCUUCCAGGAGAUAAUUUUUCAAGUACAGGAUUUGCAGAGAACUAUAGAAUAUUAAAUAUCUAUCUAAUUAGACUUCUCUGGUUUCUGUAUUAGAUGUGAAGAAAAUGGAGACUACCAUAGUAAAGGAAGAAUAGCAAAAUAGUGGAGGAAUCAGAAUUAGAAUCCAGAGCCAUUCAGAUUUUAUCUCAUUAACAGGUGCCAAAGUAUUUUUCCUUCCUUGGAAAGAGGGAAAACAUGGAAGACAUCGUAUUUGGAAAGAAAACAAUAUUGUGGAAUAGCCAGACGUGGUGGCUCACACCUGUAAUCCCAGCACUUUGGGAGGCCAAACCCAGCAGAUCACCUAAGGCUUGACUCCUUCUGGGCUCACCGAGGCUGGCAGUAUGGGGAGAAGCAGCAGCUGGUUUCGGCCUUCACAGCUCACAUCUUCCCAGGAGAGAGGUCCUGAGUUAUUGCCCUAAUCUUCUCGAAGCUGUUUCACAGAGACAAGCAUCUGAAUGAAGAGACCCUGCCACAAUGAGGGACUGAGUAAUUAAUUGCCUGAAACACAUGGGUAGUCUGAAAUUUGAGCUUCUUAUAAAGGUGUGACUCACAGCUUUCUUAGAAAAAGAGCACAAAUAUCCACUGCACCAGGAACAGGGAAAUUUCCUUCCCAUCUUCUUCUCUUUCCUAUUAGGAUCUCAUUCUGUAGCCCAGGAUGAAGAGCAGUGGCAUAAUCAUAGCCCACUUCAGCUUUGACCUCUCAGUCUCAAGUGAUCCUCCCCCCUCAGCCUCCUGAGUAGCUGGGACCACAGGUGUGCACCACCAUACCCAGUAAAAGUUACAUUAAGUGUGCCUGGCUCUCCUGUUUCCCCUACCACAUCCUCCACCUCUUCCACCUCUGCCACCCCUGAGACAGCAAGACCAACCCCUCUUCCUGCUCAGCCUACUCAACUUGAAGAGGACACGGAUGAAGACCUUUAUGAUGAUCCACUUCCACUUAAUGAAAGUUAACAUAUUUUCUCUUCUUUGUGAUUUUCUUAUUAAAAUUUUCUUUUCUCUAGCUUACUUUACUGUAAGAACACAGUACAUAAUACAUCUAACACAAAAUAUGUGUUAAUCGACUGUUUAUGUUAUCAGUAAGGCUUCCAGUCAACAGUAGGCUAUUAGUAAGGUGUUUGGGGAGUCGAAAGUUACGCUCAGAUUUUUGACUGCAAGGGUGUCAGCACCCCUGACCCUUGUGUGGUUCAAGAGUCAACUUUUUUUUUAAUUGGCUACUCUCCUUUCUGGAUUUAUGUGUAGAGUAUAUGGAUUAAAUAAGAUAUUUAUAUUUUACUGUGUACAUUUGACUUACAUCGUCUUGAUUUGGUGGUUGAGUGAUCAUUAUAAAAUUGCUGGAAUCCAUUUCCUGUAAGAAUAAAGUAAUUAGCAAUUGGGCAUAAUGGAAAUGGCAUGGGACUAGGAGUUAUAAAACCUGAAUGAUAUAGGCCACACUUAUGUGCUUGUGUAACUAAAUAAAUAUCUGUUUGACU